GGCACCUCUGCAGAGAGGAAAAGUACAUGCAUUUCAACAGACGAUGCUGUUGUGAGCUAGAAGGAAACUUACAGAGUUACUUACCAAAAAAAAGGAGCUGCUGUCGUCCUCUUCCUUGCGGCCCAUCUUCUCCAGAGUGGAAGCAGGGAAUUCUGUCAGGAAGGGCAGGAGAGAAAGGAUUGAUGUGCCAGGUACUCACAUGAAGAACAGAAGUAACUAGUGGCUAAUUGGAUUGAAGGUGUUGUGAAUGCUUUUUGCUUGGUCAGAGGAUUCAAACUUAUCAACAGCUUUGAAAUACAUGAAUUUUUGUACUUAUUUUGCCACUUACAACUGUUAGUGCUAGCCAUGUCGCUGUGAUUAUGUCCCAGUGUCAGUACCGUUUAAUAUUAGAUCAGCCAAACAGGCAACCGGUGACCAUAUGGUAGUAUUGUCUUGUGGGUAUAUUCGUUUAUGCAUGUUGACAAUUGAAAAUAUUUAUAUUAUGCUUUAUGUUUAGUGGUAAAAAAAACAAGCUGGGUGGUUGCUAAUUUUAACGAAAGCAUCUGUGACUUCAUGGAUUAAAAAGUUAGGUACAGUUAGGGAUGCAGAUGGAUUAUAGUUGAGCUGCUUUAUUGCUCAAAUAUUAAAUAGUUUAGAGAGCUCAUGACUGCAGAAGGGAAAUCAACGUAGAACACUUCUGAGUCUGUCUUGUAUAGUUUGUGUUGCUAUCUUCUUUAAUUUUUGUUAAUUGACAGAUUGCUUUUGCAUCUGAGUCAUCACCUUCCCAUUGCCUUUUUCUUUCAGGGAGUCACAAGGCUGUGAAAUCCCAGUUCUGUCUGUUGGGUGGCCCAUGAUGUAGCACAGGGGUGCUGGCCCCAGUGAGAGCCACCCCUCUCCAGCUCCGCCUGGGAAGGGUGGCUUGAGGAGCAGCUGCUCAUCUUGGUAAAGCCUGUCCAACUUAAAGGGCUUGCGGAGGCAAAAUGCAAAGGGGAAUCUAAUUAGGUUUUUACCAGACAGAAUAAUCCAGCCUUGGUCUACGGUGACACAAUGGUCAGGCCACAAAAUCAGGAAUAUGCAGCUUCUGGCGUCAAAUUCCUGCUCCACUGGAUGGUUGCUGAGCACUUAUUAUUUACAUUUAAAUAUUUAAUUGCACAAAAUCUGGUUUGUUACUAAACACUUCAGGAAGACUUCUAGGUGCUCAGCACAUCUGAAAUUUAAGCACCUGAUCUGGGUGCUAAGUCUUCUGCCACUCACAUUUUAAAAUAUUGACAUGAGACUGACUCUCAGUCUCACAAGUUCUCUGAACUGGAACUCCAGAAGCCUGGGCUCCCGUCCAGCACUGCCACAAAGGGCUCUUUGACCUUGGUCAAGCCCUGUCCCUCCCCACUUCCCCUCCCACCUCUAAGCUCUUUAGAGUACAGACUGUACAGUGGUCCUGUAAUGCAAAAAGUAAUGCUAUCAUCACUUGUGGGAGCUCACCAGAGUGGUGUGAGAAUUAGAGCUUAGACAAGGUUUGGAAGGUGUGAAAUGUUAUACAAACAUCUAAGUGCUCUUAAUAAGAUCAGGUCUAACAUUACAGAACUGGAAAUACACUGGAAGAUGAACAAUGAAGUCUGUAGAUGAGAAAAAUUUUCAAAAAAUAACAACUGGUGGGGCUUGUUGCACUGUCAGGAUACAAAAGAAAUGCACUGAAAAUAUCCACUGACAGACUGACAGAAGGGGAUUGGAUGCUGGCAGCAGUGCCGUCAGCACAUGCGACAUCUCCCUUCUCGGGAGCAAGGAUGCUGUUCUCCAAAAGCCUGCAAGACACAGCUGAAUCUUUGAAAGACAAAACUGAAUCUUUUGUGUAAAAACAAUGUGUUUGGAAAAGGCAAAGUAUUAAAGCAGACAAAAAGCUGAAAGAUUUUAUUUCAAGACAGGCAGCUUAGAUAUUGAAUUAUUCCUGAACCUAGUUUAUCUCCUUAAUUAACAUGGUUUGAGGAUUUUGAGAUCCUUGACACAAUUUUUUAAAGGUUAAUUUAACAUUAUUGAAAGCAAAAAUGACUCAACUGCAAACAGUUGAAGCCUUCAGCCUAUAAAAUCACUAAAGGCCAGUGCACACUUAACUUUUAUUUACUUUCUGGAUUCUGAUGCAUGUGCAACUCCUAGAAAUACAAAUCUUCAUAAAAAUCAGCCAUAUUUUGCUGUUCAAAAUCAGUGAAGAUCAAAAGUUUGUCACAAAAAUGCUGAUCAAAUAAUAGAAACCUCUUUCUGCCAAUAUUUUGAGUUCCAAACCUAAAUUUUCUUUCCAAGUCAUCCCUCUGUGCCACCCAUUCAAAUCUCUACCAAACUGGAACUUCACAAAAAGAGAAUUUUAAGCAGAGACUUUCAGUCACUGAUGAGAACAAGUUUCAUCCAGUUUAACCAAAUGUAAAAUGCAUGAUGCCACUAUGAUUUUGACUCACUCAGAUUUGACUCAAUUCAGAUGACCUCUCGAUUCCUGUUCCAGCCUACUGUCAAGCAAAGAAUACAUAGUAAAAAAAAGUAGGUUAGCCUAGCCCCUGUGGGCCUUAGGGAUUAACAGUAUUUUAAUCUUCCUUCCUGUCCAGCUACGAUGCCAAGAUAUGGCCUGGUUAGCACAAAACUCUUUGAGCUUGCCACCCAUCCCUGUGGAUGUAGGCUGACAGCCAGAAAACUCUUUGCAGAGGGGCAGAGACGAUGGUGCACUCAGAGAGCACUUGCAUCCCGCUGUCCUUGGCAUGUGAGAAAUGACCAACUCCCGCUGCGAACGCGCUUUGCAUGGUGCUCUCUGCCACCCUCUUCCAUGACAGAGAGCAGCCAGCCAUGUAGUCCGCCGAGCUUCCCUGCAAAUGCCGCAGGAGAGGAGCCUGGCAGCUGUACGACACGGAGGACAGGACAGAGGCGCAGGCUCUGAAUUCAUCCAGCAAUGCCCUGACCUUUCUCAAUACCAGUACAUGGUGUGUGGAUAAACAGAACUUAAUAUAUCUAUUUGCUCAGUUGAAGAAGCUUUACUUUUCACAAGAGUAGAAAACAUCAUCAUAAAAGUUGGGCAAACAGACUUUGUGCUUGGGCUGGCAGGUUUUCCUGCCAUAUGAUGUGUCUGUCUGCGCACUUCCAUCGUUUGUCGGCUCCAUCCCGACGCCCCGGUCGCAUGUGCAUCGUUCCUGGCCUCGGGGGCAGCUCUCCUGUCACGGCAGUGCAAUGCACACACGAAGAAUGGGGUAGAGCACACCUGACACACACUUGAACAAUGUAUUAUUAUAAACUCCUAAUAGGAGAGAAGGGUCUAUGUGUGUCUAUUUGUUUGUUCUCCUUUUACUAGUGCAAUAACAAUAGUGCAUUAAGAUUGCAAAAUAAAAUGGAAAUGCUCAUUAAUUAAUGCAUGUAAAGAUUUUUGGAGAGAAAAAGAAAAGUAUAAAGUAUUCCUUUAAUUUGUUUAGCAUGCCACCCCCCUCAUAACAAAUUAAGCAGUAACAGGACUUAAUCUGACAACUAUAUGCUGAAAGUAGUUUCAGUAUUAAUGUCUAACCUUUGGGCUCUUCUAGAGACUAAGUCAAUAAAUGUGACUGCUGCUUUAUUCUCUCUGAUCCAGCAAAUGACACAUCAUUGCUUAGAAUGUAACGAGUGUUAUUAUGACCUUGCUUAAAUAUUUCCUGAAGAAAUUGGUGCAGCUUUCAUAUCUCACAGUAACAGAUCCAUCUGCAGACAGAUAUUCUGCUUCUGAAUGGAUAUACUGCAUUAGCAAAAUUAUUGUAAGACGUGAUUAAUAAUCUUGUGACAAAGUUACCUGUGGAGGGGGAAGAUGCAUGCUUCUUUCAUGAUUUUGGCAUUAGAAUUAGAAAGAAGUUUAGAUUAAAAAAGGAGGAGAAUACAAAGUCAAAGGGAUUUGCUUUAAAAAAAAAUACACCAAAACAAUCAUUCUGUGUGUGAAUGAAUUAACUAACAGGCCAGUCUCUGUGUUCAGGGACAACCAAACAAGAAACUGAAGACAUGAGAUCGCCAUUAGAAACAAAUCUACAUUAAACAUUUUGUAUUCGUUCCACUACUCCAUUGAUUCAAAAGCAGUGCAUUAACUUAGGAGUCCUUGAUGAACACUUGCAGAAUCACAUUUUUCAAUAUAAAUAUUUCACAUUCCUUAAAAGAGUUUUGAAGUGAAAUGUCAUAACCCAGCUUUCUAUGAAGUUGCUAAAUAUAACGUAUGAGUGCAGUAGAAUAUUAGACUAACAGUCUGUGCAAAGAGGUACUCCCAUAUUUUCCUGCUAGAGGAUGCAGUUCAUUUUAAAAACAGGUUAGCCAGAAUCCAACUUAAUGCCUGCCUGCUUUGUUGUACAGAACAGACAGGAAAAGCAAAGGAUUAUUAAGGAAAUAAUAUUUUGCUUACCCAAGUCAG
Dromaius novaehollandiae (emu) is the source of this 4369-nucleotide long non-coding RNA. RefSeq lists it as uncharacterized. The record is from RefSeq and is a predicted model, not a curated record. Lineage: Eukaryota; Metazoa; Chordata; Aves; Casuariiformes; Dromaiidae. The transcript is spliced from 3 exons.